CAUUAAUAUUCACUAUAUAUGAAGAAACCAACUGAGUAAUAUUCGCACCUGACGGAGGAUGGCUUCCUUGUUUGCCAGUUCAUUUUCUAGCUUAUCAUUCAUGUCAUGUAUGGAGGUGGAUUCUCUCUGAGCACUGAGGAGGCCAAAACACAGCUGAAUGGAUGUUGAUGAUGGUGGAAUAGGUGAAGGUGAAGACAGAGAGGACUCUAUUUCUGAGGUAGCCUCUGAAUCUAAAAUUCUAAUCAUCAUUACAACAGCAGACAGUGAUAAUGCUACAGAUCUAGGAUCCAAGAGGAAGCCUUUCAGGCUAAGCUUCCAGUGAAUAGCAGAGGUGGAUGUAACCACAGGCCCCGAAGGACAAUUUUUGGAUCACAAGCUCUCACAGUGAGAAGCAGAUGUACCAGUAAAACUGCUAGUGGGACACUUGGAGCACUACAAAGGAUCUCAAAAUUAGCAACUUGUUGCACUGCAAGAUCUAUUUGAAGUACAGUACAUAAAGCAGUGCACUGUCUUAGGUGAUUUUAUCAGAUACCAGCCUGACAUCUACCAUUUACAUUCUCACAAGAUUUUCUUUUCCCAAUUAAAACUUAUAUACUAAUCAAAAUGACUGAACCAAGCAUGGCUUUCCUGACAUAAAACCCAAUAUUUUAACUAUUUCCAGAAAUCAAUGGGAUUGAGUCACAAAUUCUGAUUAGCUUCAUUUUCUACAUUGAUCAAAGGAAGAGGCUAAGGAGGGAGCUUGCCCCAUCUUUGAAUAAAUGAUGAAGCAGGUACUAGUGAGGUGGUCCUGUAAUAAGACUACCAAAGUGUUCCUGAAAACCCCGGGGGGAACAGGUGGUGUAUGUGGCUCAACUGCAUUCUCAACAUCCUUUACUAGACAAAAGCAGAUGAAAGUCUAAGAUUCACAAACCUAAUAAUGUAAAUUCCUUUUCAUCUACCAAAGUCAGAAACGUGUAGUAAAGAAGGUAUAAAGGCAAGAAGCUUCUCAUUUAAUGUUUUUUUUCCCAACAGACAAGCAAAUACAGAUUUUUGGUGCUGUCUAGGUAUAAAAUGAGAUUUAUUACUUGAAAUGACUGAAUAUUAUAUGAAAUAUUAUUAAUAAAUAGACAUGGAAAAGUGAGGUGUUGGCUUGGGCAGGGGGAGUCUUUCCUUCCAGAGUGGUAGCUAAAAUCUCAGUAUGUUUCAGUCUCAUGAUCAAAUGAAAUACAUGGGAUAAUAUUUGAGCGAGUGAACGCAAAAUGCUCUUCAGGCUGUUAUAAAUACAGAGUCUGACUUCAUAAACCAAACUUCUUAUAAAUCCAUACAUAGUCUUAAAACAACAGAUAAAAAUGAAUCUCCCUGAAGAUGGCUUUAGUGCUGAAAUGCUUUAGUUUUUCCAUUUAGAAAUGCAGGUUCUGAGAUUUGUUAACAGUUACAUUUAAAAGGGCAAAUAGGGACUUAGAGCUUUAUUUUCACAACAGGUAGGAGCUAAACUAACCAUGGACCGUACAGCACUGCAGUCAACAUCAGCCACACUUUGAGAGAACAAAAGAAAAGCAAAAAAAACCCCACCUUUUCAGAUUGCAAAAAUAACUUUGGAAGGUGGGGAAUAAAACCUUCAGCAGUGACAAUGAAUGCACUUUGGGCUCCUGUACGAGGUUUUCAUGCCAAGGUUUUGAUAGUGGAGGUGGCUAAAGAGGUGGCUUCUGUGAGCAGCUGCCAAAAGCCUCCCCCAUGUCUGAGAGAGCUAACGCCAGUCAGCUCCAAGACAUGCAUGAUCGUGGCCUAGGCUGAGCCCAUCAGUGACAGUGGCACUGGGGUAACUCUGGGGUAACAUAAUUAAGAAGGGGAAAAAGAGCUGCUGCUCAACAGCAAUUGCAGGUGGGAAAGAGGAGAGACAAUGUGAGAU
Molecule: long non-coding RNA, 1888 nt
Organism: Melopsittacus undulatus (budgerigar)
Lineage: Eukaryota; Metazoa; Chordata; Aves; Psittaciformes; Psittaculidae
Source: Ensembl